AUACGUAGGGGGCGAGCGUUGUCCGGAAUGAUUGGGCGUAAAGGGCGCGUAGGCGGCCCGGUAAGUCUGGAGUGAAAGUCCUGUUUUUAAGAUGGGAAUUGCUUUGGAUACUGUCGGGCUUGAGUGCAGGAGAGGUAAGUGGAAUUCCCAGUGUAGCGGUGAAAUGCGUAGAGAUUGGGAGGAACACCAGUGGCGAAGGCGACUUACUGGACUGUAACUGACGCUGAGGCGCGAAAGUGUGGGGAGCAAACAGGAUUAGAUACCCUGGUAGUCCACACUGUAAACGAUGAAUGCUAGGUGUAGGGGGUAUCGACCCCUUCUGUGCCGCAGUCAACACAAUAAGUAUUCCGCCUGGGGAGUACGGCCGCAAGGUUGAAACUCAAAGGAAUUGGCGGGG
Molecule: ribosomal RNA, 397 nt
Filed under: uncultured bacterium
Lineage: Bacteria
Description: partial 16S ribosomal RNA
Rfam family: Bacterial small subunit ribosomal RNA
Source: RNAcentral